GCCGGGGUGGCGGAAUUCGGUAUACGCAUGGGACUUAAAAUCCCAGGGGCCGCAAGGCCCGUACGGGUUCAAAUCCCGUCCCCGGCACCA
Molecule: transfer RNA, 90 nt
Filed under: Blastocatellia bacterium
Lineage: Bacteria; Pseudomonadati; Acidobacteriota; Blastocatellia
Description: tRNA-Leu
Rfam family: tRNA
About the family: Transfer RNA (tRNA) molecules are approximately 80 nucleotides in length. Their secondary structure includes four short double-helical elements and three loops (D, anti-codon, and T loops).
Source: RNAcentral